Molecule: ribosomal RNA, 253 nt
Filed under: uncultured bacterium
Lineage: Bacteria
Description: partial 16S ribosomal RNA
Rfam family: Bacterial small subunit ribosomal RNA
Source: RNAcentral
GACGAACCGUGCAAACGUUGUUCGGAAUCACUGGGCUUAAAGGGCGCGUAGGCGGCUUGCAAAGUCAGGGGUGAAAUCUUUCGGCUCAACCGGAAAAGUGCCUCUGAUACUGGCAGGCUUGAGUGAGGUAGGGGCAUGUGGAACUUCCGGUGGAGCGGUGAAAUGCGUUGAUAUCGGAAGGAACGCCGGUGGCGAAAGCGACGUGCUGGACCUCUUCUGACGCUGAGGCGCGAAAGCUAGGGGAGCGAACGGG